Molecule: long non-coding RNA, 485 nt
Filed under: Hordeum vulgare
Lineage: Eukaryota; Viridiplantae; Streptophyta; Magnoliopsida; Poales; Poaceae
Description: long non-coding RNA (HVUL_LNC001470)
Source: RNAcentral
UAGGAUAACCGGGGAGGACGACAACCAGCGGCGAGGACGACCCAUGAGGACCGUGACCAGCAGCGAGGAUGGACGGCGACAGGAGAAGGAGCGGUCGACGGGGAGCAGGGGGUGGGGGAGCGUCGUUGUGCGUUAACCCGUGUGCGCCUGCAUUGAUCGAAGGUCGGAUACAAGAGAGGGGAGUGGAGGGCUUAGGAUGGGCAGAACCGAUGGACACGGUGUGAUCGACCUAAAUUUGGGUCGGCGUGUCGAUGCAGAUCACUCGCCUAAAAAAAGUAUUGACCAUGUAUUAAAAAUGCUAAUAUGGUAUUUGAUGAAUAAUAAUCGAGCAUUUGGGAAAUGAUAAAUGUGUCUAGAAAAAAAUAUGACAAUGUAUUCAAUAAAUACUAAUCUUGUAUUUCAAGAAUGUUAUAGAUGUAUUACCAAAAUGUAUUAGAUAUGUAUUAAAAAGAGUAUAGAAAAACAAUGAAAACUCGAGAGAAAAU